GCAUUAAAAAGGUCUAGACUUGGAAAAUGUACAGUGUCAGAGUUUAACAGUCAUCUCUGGUCGGCUUACUUCAAACUCAAGCAUGAAAAGAAAAACUACAGAAGCAAGAGAGGGAGGGUAAUGACAAGAGAGAGAGAGAAAGACAGAGACAGAGACAGACAGAUGGGAUCAUGCUCAUGCCUCUUCGCCUGUCCAUUCUGAGUUUUCCUAAACCUAAUUAUAACUUAACAAAUCAAUAUAUCAGGCCUCAAUCUAUUUCAUACUUGGACACCUAAGUGGUGCUAGUUCUUAGCGGUAGUCAACUCAACAGUCAAAUUGCUACCAUGUGCUUGUCAUUUUUAAUAUCUCUUGAGAUAUGUUUAUAGUCAUCUUCUCUUUUCUUUUGUAAUUUUGAUAAUAUGGUGAAGCAUUUCAUAAAAUAUGUAGAUGUUUCAGCAAAUGCAUUCCUUGGGCUGGAGAAAAAAAAAAAAAGGAAAUUUGCCCAGGAAGUUCUCAGUUGUAGGUUUUUAUUUCUUUCAGGCUUCUGGUUUCUUGGAACCUAUGCUUUAAACUAACUGUUUGCUUUCGAUUUACAUGGAGGAGGAGAACAAUUGAGAAGUUCUAAAUUCAAUGGGUAAAAAAUGUUCCAGGGGGUGAAAAAAUAUAAAGAAACAUGAUAAGGAAAAAUGCCUGAAUCUAUUCUACCUAAAAAGUCGUACUGGGAAUGAAAUUGUGAGUUGGGCAGAAAUGAGUGUGUGAAGUCCCAUGUUCAUUUUUUCUGUUGUAGGAAAAUUUAAAAUAUGUGUUCAAUUCUGGACCACCAGGAGUCAUGGAAAGUUCAAGGAAGGUUUCCAAAAAACAUUCCGGCUUACUCGUCUUUCGCAGACAGUGCAGACGUGGCAAAGAGUACCUUUUCCUGCUCCUCACGUAAAUCUGUGUUCCAAACGUCACAUGCCGAAGGGGAAGUGAACAGGUCUGUCUUAUUCUCCAGCAUUGAUGAUGAAGGCCGAAUUCUAGGGAGAAGCAAAUGAGGAAAAGAAGAAGUUAAAUCUCUUGGAGGAUAUGACUGUUCCGGUGUCUGCCCAUUGGCCUGAUGUAUUUUAAACCUGCAACGUCUGAAAUCUCCGUUCCCUUCUUUUGGACCCUCCAUCACAUGAAGCUGACCCACAGGUGUUUACAAGAUCCCUACUCUGUGUAGCCCUCCGUCCUGUCCAUCCACGCCUGACGUCCAGCCCUUCCCCACAAAGGCCCAUUCUAAUUUCACCAAUGGUCGGCUCCACUUGCCACAAUCCUGUCAAGGCAGACAAAUGAAACAUGUCAGGAGACAUGUGGAAGAAAAGAGUUACUGAUUUACUGUGGAACUUUUUAUGGAUAAGAGUUAUUUCUCUUGGCCUGGUACCUGCUCUUGAAGCUUGAUCACAUUUCAAGGUACUGCAGCCAUUUACUCAAAUAUUCUAGGUCCUCAGAUGUUAGGGUGCACGUGUCUGUUUGUGUGCGUGCAUGUCUGAAUGCGGUUGGAAAGCCACAGCAAGGCUGUUGAUUGCAAAGCAGGAACAAAGGGGAAAAGUCAAGGCUCCCUCCC
Molecule: long non-coding RNA, 1561 nt
Filed under: Sus scrofa (pig)
Lineage: Eukaryota; Metazoa; Chordata; Mammalia; Artiodactyla; Suidae
Description: lncRNA (ENSSSCG00060033418.1)
Source: RNAcentral